CCCUGAGGAAGUUGGUUACACGUGG
Molecule: non-coding RNA, 25 nt
Filed under: Cricetulus griseus (Chinese hamster)
Lineage: Eukaryota; Metazoa; Chordata; Mammalia; Rodentia; Cricetidae
Source: RNAcentral